RNAcentral lists this ribosomal RNA (253 nucleotides) under uncultured bacterium. Its description in RNAcentral is "partial 16S ribosomal RNA". It matches the Rfam family "Bacterial small subunit ribosomal RNA", at positions 524 to 776 of the family's 1533-position model. The record is from RNAcentral.
GACGUAGGGUCCGAGCGUUGUCCGGAAUUACUGGGCGUAAAGGGCUCGUAGGUGGCCAACUAAGUCAGACGUGAAAUCCCUCGGCUUAACCGGGGAACUGCGUCUGAUACUGGAUGGCUUGAGUGUGGGAGAGGGAUGCGGAAUUCCAGGUGUAGCGGUGAAAUGCGUAGAUAUCUGGAGGAACACCGGUGGCGAAGGCGGCAUCCUGGACCAUUACUGACACUGAAUAGCGAAAGCCAGGGGAGCAAACGGG